CUAAUUUUCAUUUUUUUGGACCAAGGACCUCAAAUCAAAAGAUCCUAGGUCUCUAUCACUUAUGGUGUUCCAGUUUAAAAUACAUUUCAAAAUUUCAAAUACAAAAAGGGAAAUAACUCUCAUAUGGAGCGUUCAUAUUGUUUCGGUCGAAAUUGGACAAAUCAUGCGAAGGAUAUAACGAGCAAUGUUAUAAAAUAAAUUUGUCGUAAUCUUUUACGGUUGAGAAGGAGUUGUGGACACAAGGAAAACAGUGUUUGGGGAGAUAACUCCUACAAAGAAAAGUAUUCGGUUACGCAGGGUAAAUUUCAAAAGCGCAUAAACUGUUCGAUAUCAUAUACCAAAUAUCUAAGCGACAUAUUGCGAAACAAAUGUUUAUCGCAAGAACAAAAUUUGGCGGAAGAAAAACAAAUGAUCAGAAGAAAAACAAUAGGUCUUUCCACAGAAAAGUGGAAAGACCUAAUAAUAAAAAUAAUAAGAACUGACCAAAA
RNAcentral lists this long non-coding RNA (488 nucleotides) under Mytilus galloprovincialis (Mediterranean mussel). Lineage: Eukaryota; Metazoa; Mollusca; Bivalvia; Mytilida; Mytilidae. The record is from RNAcentral.